Homo sapiens (human) is the source of this 2070-nucleotide long non-coding RNA. Lineage: Eukaryota; Metazoa; Chordata; Mammalia; Primates; Hominidae. The record is from Ensembl.
UGCUCUUCACCCAGGCUGCAGUGCAGUGGUACAAUCUUGGCUCACUACAACCUCCACCUCCAGGGGCUCAAGCGAUCCUCCCACCUCAGCUUCCUGAGUAGCUGGGACCACAGGCAAACGCCACUGUGCCCAGCUAAUUUUUAAACCUUUUUGUAGCAACAAGGUCUCACUAUGUUGCCCAGGCUGGUCUUGGACUCCUGGGCUCAAACAAUCGUCCCGCCUUGGCCUCCCAAAAUGCUGGCAUUCCAGGCAGGAGCCACUGUACCUGGCCCCACCUUCUUUUUGCUGUAGGCUGAGCACAGGAGAAGUUGAAUUUAUCAGGGAACCUAAAGACAUGCCCUUCUUUGAAGGCAGAAGUCCUGUCCACGUCAAAUGCCCUCCCUCCAUCCCUCCCAGCUCCCUAGUCAUCCUUCCUAUUCUAGGCUCCAGGAGCGAGACCUCCUCCAUGUGCCUGCUAACGUCAGUGCCACGGGCCCUCUUUGGUUCUCCUGCCCACCUUCUCUGACUCUGCCCAACACCCACGGGCCAGAGGCCCUUUUCCUUCUUGGCACUUCUCGGUGUUGUAGCAGGAUGAGCCACGGACAAAACCCCUCAGACGCCGGGUUAAGGAAUGAUUUGGUUUUAUUCGGCCAGGAGCUUCAGCGGACUCAAGUCUCAAGAACCGAACUCUCUGAAGACAGAGUUCCUGGCCCUUUUAAGGGUUUACAACCUUUAGGUUCCACGUGAAAGGGUCGUGAUAGAUUGAGAGCACAUGCGUUUAGAGUGGGGUGGGGGGGUUAAUCUUUUAACCUCAGGCCUGAUCAUCAGGGGCACCAGCUGGUCUUGCCACUGACUUCAUUCCUGUUGUUUUUCAACUUUUACUUCCUCCUCCUCUUCAGACAGGAGACAGUAAGAGAAAUGGCCUCUCUCCUCAGCGGCACAAUGGACUUUAGACAUCGCGCCUGUUUUGUACUCUCCAAGCCGGACUUCUCUACUCGCUGGCCUGGCGCUGAUGCCCAGAGGCCCCCUGUGCUUGUGGUCGUGGCCUUAGACAGUUCCCUGCCCUUUGUUCCAGCCCCGCCACACAGUCUGCACGGCCUCCACCGCAGCUCUGGUGAGCCUCUUGGCCAGCUCCUGGUGACAGCGUGCACCUCCCUGCUCUGAGAAGGUCUCCCUCUCCUCUCUGCCCACCCUGUACAGAGACAUCUUUCAAGCCCAUCCCAGAGGAGAGUGGCCUCUCUCCUCAACCCCAAGAGGACGGCCUCUCAUGUGGCUGUCACCCAUCUGACCCCUAUCACAGACCUGAGGAGUGGGCAGAGUCCUUGACCGCAUUCUAGGGAGACUUCCAAAAGAAAAAAGACCUGCAUUUCUUCAACAACCCACACUGAGAGACUUUCCUGCACUUCUGACCUGUGGCUAACACUCCUCACCGUUCAUUCUGUCAUCAGUGUUUUGGGGAAGCACCUUUAACUCUCUGUGAUUUACAGGUUAUUAAGUGGCCCUUACAAUUCCCUCCAGAGAUGGAAAAGACAUGAUGAUGGUGUCUGAGCUCACAGCAGCAAGCAGGCGUGUGUGCUCAGCAGCCACGUGGCUCAUCUGCUGGGAGCUUGCUAAAUACGAUGUUCUACAACAUUGCCUAACACAAGGGGAGACGCUCCUGACUCAGAGUGUUUAAUUGCUCACCUACUUCUUUUUCUGCCCUCUUGGGCUUCUGAAAUGAAAAGAACCCUGGGGUGAUACAGUGAGUCAAAGGGGUGCCAGCUGCAUCACAGCAAAAUAGAUUCCUAAAAAAUCCCUGGCCUAAGAUGAUACCCUUGGCUGGAUAAGUUUGAAUGUGCUCAUAGUGGACAUGGUAGAAUGAAGGUGGUUGAAAUGUUCACAUUAAAGAACUUCCACCCAGAUUGCAAGAAAAGAGAGAAGAAUGGAGACGGCAGCACGAGUCCCUACAAUAAAAGCAGAUGUUUUGAGAUCAGUUAUAUUUCUUCUGACAAAAAUUAAAGACAGAAACCAAAGUUUAGCCUGAGGCUACAAUUAAUUGGGCAAUAAGCCAGAGGCACAUAUGGCAUAGACAGAUUUAAACAUUUCUCCCUG